This 497-nucleotide ribosomal RNA is filed under the name uncultured bacterium. RNAcentral's name for it is "partial 16S ribosomal RNA". It matches the Rfam family "Bacterial small subunit ribosomal RNA", at positions 28 to 507 of the family's 1533-position model. The record is from RNAcentral.
GAUGAACGCUGGCGGCGUGCCUAAUACAUGCAAGUCGAGCGAACGGACGAGAAGCUUGCUUCUCUGAUGUUAGCGGCGGACGGGUGAGUAACACGUGGAUAACCUACCUAUAAGACUGGGAUAACUUCGGGAAACCGGAGCUAAUACCGGAUAAUAUUUUGAACCGCAUGGUUCAAAAGUGAAAGACGGUCUUGCUGUCACUAAUAGAUGGAUCCGCGCUGCAUUAGCUAGUUGGUAAGGUAACGGCUUACCAAGGCAACGAUGCAUAGCCGACCUGAGAGGGUGAUCGGCCACACUGGAACUGGGACGCGGUCCAGACUCCUACGGGAGGCAGCAGUAGGGAAUCGUCCGCAAUGGGCGAAAGCCUGACGGAGCAACGCCGCGUGAGUGAUGAAGGUCUUCGGAUCGUAAAACUCUGUUAUGAGGGAAGAACAUAUGUGUAAGUAACUGUGCACAUCUUGACGGUACCUAAUCAGAAAGCCACGGCUAACUACGUG